GGAGACUGCGGUGAGGCUGUAGAGAGGUUUUACUGGUUGAAGAAGAUCACCAGGAUGGAGUUGCACCCCAUGAACAUUCUGGAAAAAACCACACGAUCAUUUGUGUCAGCAUUGGCACAAAAUUGUCAGCCAGUUCUCUUUGGAUGUUGGAACCGUCAGACUGGAUCAGACUCAUGGUCCAGCUAGGACUCAACAAAUGUGGACUUACCUGUGGUGCUCUGUGCGAGAACUUGUGUUAAGGGCAGCAGCAGAAGGAGCGCAGCAGCAGGGAACUGAUUAGAAACUGCCAUGCGGGAAGCAGAAGGAAGCCCACGUCUUUUGGCAAAUGUAAUCCACCACUUUUUUCUCCGUAUUGUCACUGAAGCAUGCUCACCCAUUCACUGCCCCAGGAAGAAAAGAACACUGCAUGUCUGGAGCAGACACCCACCUGCUGCACUUCAACCUUUGCCUCCCUGCUUUAUUGUUUAACUUAUUUAUGACUUAUUUACUGGUUCCUGUUUUCAGAAUGCGAUAGGCUCUGGAUCUCUGGAUUUUUAACUGCAUUAGGAUUUGGUGUUGAAUACCCCCCAAAUAAACAUGGGGAGGGGGCGCUUUGGCACCUGUUAAGUUGACUGUCAGUGGCAGGUGCGAUUGUAAUCAUCAGAGCGCAUGCUGGCAUGUCGUACUGAGCC
Mauremys mutica (yellowpond turtle) is the source of this 671-nucleotide long non-coding RNA. RefSeq lists it as uncharacterized. The transcript has 3 exons. The record is from RefSeq and is a predicted model, not a curated record. NCBI's taxonomy places the organism in Eukaryota, Metazoa, Chordata, Testudines, Geoemydidae.